GGUUAGUCCAAGUGCAGUGGUAUUUACAACUAAUUGAUCACAACCGGUUACAGAUUCUUUUGUUUCUUCUCCACUCUCACUGCUUCACUUGACCAGCCUUAA
Microcebus murinus (gray mouse lemur) is the source of this 102-nucleotide unclassified non-coding RNA. It matches the Rfam family "Y RNA". From Rfam's summary of the family: Y RNAs are components of the Ro ribonucleoprotein particle (Ro RNP), in association with Ro60 and La proteins. The Y RNAs and Ro60 and La proteins are well conserved, but the function of the Ro RNP is not known. In humans the RNA component can be one of four small RNAs -- hY1, hY3, hY4 and hY5. The record is from Ensembl. NCBI's taxonomy places the organism in Eukaryota, Metazoa, Chordata, Mammalia, Primates, Cheirogaleidae.